GAUGAACGCUAGCGGCAGGCUUAACACAUGCAAGUCGAGGGGUAGAAGCAGCUUGCUGCUUUGAGACCGGCGCACGGGUGCGUAACGCGUAUGCAAUCUACCUUUUACAGAGGGAUAGCCCAGAGAAAUUUGGAUUAAUACCUCAUAGUAUAUUGAUUCGGCAUCGGAUUAAUAUUAAAGUUUCGGCGGUACAAGAUGAGCAUGCGUCCCAUUAGUUAGUUGGUAAGGUAACGGCUUACCAAGACAAUGAUGGGUAGGGGUCCUGAGAGGGAGAUCCCCCACACUGGUACUGAGACACGGACCAGACUCCUACGGGAGGCAGCAGUGAGGAAUAUUGGGCAAUGGGCGGAAGCCUGACCCAGCCAUGCCGCGUGCAGGAAGACGGUCCUAUGGAUUGUAAACUGCUUUUAUACGGGAAGAAACACCCCCUCGUGAGGGGACUUGACGGUACCGUAAGAAUAAGGAUCGGCUAACUCCGUG
This 480-nucleotide ribosomal RNA is filed under the name uncultured bacterium. RNAcentral describes it as "bacterial SSU rRNA". It matches the Rfam family "Bacterial small subunit ribosomal RNA", at positions 28 to 507 of the family's 1533-position model. The record is from RNAcentral.